RNAcentral lists this ribosomal RNA (426 nucleotides) under uncultured Pseudomonadota bacterium. RNAcentral describes it as "bacterial SSU rRNA". It matches the Rfam family "Bacterial small subunit ribosomal RNA", at positions 356 to 774 of the family's 1533-position model. Lineage: Bacteria; Pseudomonadati; Pseudomonadota. The record is from RNAcentral.
GGGGAAUAUUGGACAAUGGGCGAAAGCCUGAUCCAGCCAUGCCGCGUGUGUGAAGAAGGUCUUCGGAUUGUAAAGCACUUUAAGUUGGGAGGAAGGGUUGUAACCUAAUACGUUGCAAUUUUGACGUUACCGACAGAAUAAGCACCGGCUAACUUCGUGCCAGCAGCCGCGGUAAUACGAAGGGUGCAAGCGUUAAUCGGAAUUACUGGGCGUAAAGCGCGCGUAGGUGGUUCAGCAAGUUGAAUGUGAAAGCCCUGGGCUCAACCUGGGAACGGCCUUUGUGACUGCAUAGCUAGAGUACGGUAGAGGGGGAUGGAAUUCCGCGUGUAGCAGUGAAAUGCGUAGAUAUGCGGAGGAACACCGAUGGCGAAGGCAAUCCCCUGGACCUGUACUGACGCUCAUGCACGAAAGCGUGGGGAGCAAACA